GUACUGCCGAUGAGUCCCAAACUAGGAUGAAACAGCUGUCCAGUAC
Molecule: non-coding RNA, 46 nt
Organism: Trichobilharzia regenti
Lineage: Eukaryota; Metazoa; Platyhelminthes; Trematoda; Strigeidida; Schistosomatidae
Source: Rfam